This 769-nucleotide ribosomal RNA is filed under the name uncultured bacterium. RNAcentral's name for it is "bacterial SSU rRNA". It matches the Rfam family "Bacterial small subunit ribosomal RNA", at positions 9 to 795 of the family's 1533-position model. The record is from RNAcentral.
GAGUUUGAUCCUGGCUCAGGACGAACGCUGGCGGCGUGCUUAACACAUGCAAGUCGAACGGAAAGGCCCUUCGGGGUACUCGAGUGGCGAACGGGUGAGUAACACGUGGGUGAUCUGCCCUGCACUCUGGGAUAAGCCUGGGAAACUGGGUCUAAUACCGGAUAGGACCACACACUUCAUGGUGAGUGGUGCAAAGCUUUUGCGGUGUGGGAUGAGCCCGCGGCCUAUCAGCUUGUUGGUGGGGUAAUGGCCCACCAAGGCGACGACGGGUAGCCGGCCUGAGAGGGUGACCGGCCACACUGGGACUGAGAUACGGCCCAGACUCCUACGGGAGGCAGCAGUGGGGAAUAUUGCACAAUGGGCGCAAGCCUGAUGCAGCGACGCCGCGUGAGGGAUGACGGCCUUCGGGUUGUAAACCUCUUUCAGUAGGGACGAAGCGAAAGUGACGGUACCUACAGAAGAAGGACCGGCCAACUACGUGCCAGCAGCCGCGGUAAUACGUAGGGUCCGAGCGUUGUCCGGAAUUACUGGGCGUAAAGAGCUCGUAGGUGGUUUGUCGCGUUGUUCGUGAAAACUCACAGCUUAACUGUGGGCGUGCGGGCGAUACGGGCAGACUAGAGUACUGCAGGGGAGACUGGAAUUCCUGGUGUAGCGGUGGAAUGCGCAGAUAUCAGGAGGAACACCGGUGGCGAAGGCGGGUCUCUGGGCAGUAACUGACGCUGAGGAGCGAAAGCGUGGGUAGCGAACAGGAUUAGAUACCCUGGUAGUC